This 346-nucleotide long non-coding RNA is filed under the name Physcomitrium patens. RNAcentral's name for it is "long non-coding RNA (PPAT_LNC005720)". Lineage: Eukaryota; Viridiplantae; Streptophyta; Bryopsida; Funariales; Funariaceae. The record is from RNAcentral.
GUCUAUAAACCAAUUUCAUAUAGACAGCUUUAGUCUAGAUUUAGGAUGUACUAGAAGACAAUUUAUGAGCCCAAAUUCCACCAUUCAAUGAAAUUGAUGCUACACAACAAGUUUAGGAGGUCGAAUGGAAGAACUCUCAAUUGUGUAAUUACUAAGUUAAUUUAAAUCUUGGUGUUUGAAAUUCAAUUAACUUUAAGUCUUCUAAACAAUGAUUACUAAUAUUAAUAAAAAUAUUUAAUGAAAUUUACUAAGGUCUUUUAAGGCUAUUUGCAUGAUUUCUACUUAAACCUCAAUGGUUUAUUCAAGAUCAUUUAAAUGGUCCUUAACUACUAAUUUUUAUGUGAUU